AUUGAACGCUGGCGGCAUGCCUUACACAUGCAAGUCGAACGGCAGCACGGGAGCAAUCCUGGUGGCGAGUGGCGAACGGGUGAGUAAAGUAUCGGAACGUGCCCAGUCGUGGGGGAUAACGUAGCGAAAGUUACGCUAAUACCGCAUACGAUCUAUGGAUGAAAGCGGGGGAUCGCAAGACCUCGCGCGAUCGGAGCGGCCGAUAUCAGAUUAGGUAGUUGGUGGGGUAAAGGCUCACCAAGCCGACGAUCUGUAGCUGGUCUGAGAGGACGACCAGCCACACUGGGACUGAGACACGGCCCAGACUCCUACGGGAGGCAGCAGUGGGGAAUUUUGGACAAUGGGCGAAAGCCUGAUCCAGCCAUGCCGCGUGCAGGAUGAAGGCCUUCGGGUUGUAAACUGCUUUUGUAUGGAACGAAAAGGUUUGGGCUAAUAAGCUGAGCUCAUGACGGUACCGUAAGAAUAAGCACCGGCUAACUACGUGCCAGCCGCCGCCGUAA
RNAcentral lists this ribosomal RNA (500 nucleotides) under uncultured bacterium. RNAcentral describes it as "partial 16S ribosomal RNA". It matches the Rfam family "Bacterial small subunit ribosomal RNA", at positions 30 to 523 of the family's 1533-position model. The record is from RNAcentral.